Long non-coding RNA from Lontra canadensis (Northern American river otter), 205 nucleotides. RefSeq lists it as uncharacterized. The record is from RefSeq and is a predicted model, not a curated record. Lineage: Eukaryota; Metazoa; Chordata; Mammalia; Carnivora; Mustelidae. The transcript is spliced from 3 exons.
UCGCUAGCUGAUCUUGGGCAAGUGACUGAACCAAGGACUGUUGAGAGGGGACAGAUCUGCCAUCGGUACAGGCCUUUACAACUUAGACGUUUCACAUCCGGAUCCUUUUCAUCACUAAUAUUUAUCUGGAUCUUUGCUCCCCAAAUGAAGAAACUGAAGAACAAAGAGUGACAUGGUCGGGGCGCCUGGGUGGCUCAGUGGGUUA